This 400-nucleotide ribosomal RNA is filed under the name phytoplankton environmental sample. Its description in RNAcentral is "partial small subunit ribosomal RNA". It matches the Rfam family "Eukaryotic small subunit ribosomal RNA", at positions 587 to 989 of the family's 1831-position model. The record is from RNAcentral.
AGCUCCAGUAGCGUAUAUUAAAGUUGUUGCGGUUAAAAAGCUCGUAGUUGGAUCUCAGAGAGGCGUCGACGGUCGGCCUUCGCGGUCUGACUGCCGUCGCCUUUCACCGACCGCCGGUCGCGCGUGCCCUUCGCUGGGCGUGCGUCGGCUGCGGCCACGUUUACUUUGAAAAAAUUAGAGUGUUCAAAGCAGGCGUCUUCUCGCCCGCAUACCCCAGCAUGGAAUAAUGGAAUAGGAGGCUGGUUCUAUUUUGUUGGUUUUCGGAAUCUAGCCUAAUGGUUAAGAGGGACGGUCGGGGGCAUUCGUAUUGCGGCGUUAGAGGUGAAAUUCUUAGAUCGCCGCAAGACGAACAAGUGCGAAAGCAUUUGCCAAGAAUGUUUUCAUUAAUCAAGAACGAAAG